This 500-nucleotide ribosomal RNA is filed under the name uncultured bacterium. Its description in RNAcentral is "partial 16S ribosomal RNA". It matches the Rfam family "Bacterial small subunit ribosomal RNA", at positions 30 to 523 of the family's 1533-position model. The record is from RNAcentral.
AUUGAACGCUGGCGGCAUGCCUUACACAUGCAAGUCGAACGGCAGCACGGGAGCAAUCCUGGUGGCGAGUGGCGAACGGGUGAGUAAAGUAUCGGAACGUGCCCAGUCGUGGGGGAUAAAGUAGCGAAAGUUACGCUAAUACCGCAUACGAUCUAUGGAUGAAAGCGGGGGAUCGCAAGACCUCGCGCGAUUGGAGCGGCCGAUAUCAGAUUAGGUAGUUGGUGGGGUAAAGGCUCACCAAGCCGACGAUCUGUAGCUGGUCUGAGAGGACGACCAGCCACACUGGGACUGAGACACGGCCCAGACUCCUACGGGAGGCAGCAGUGGGGAAUUUUGGACAAUGGGCGCAAGCCUGAUCCAGCCAUGCCGCGUGCAGGAUGAAGGCCUUCGGGUUGUAAACUGCUUUUGUACGGAACGAAAAGGUUUGACUUAAUACGUUGGACUCAUGACGGUACCGUAAGAAUAAGCACCGGCUAACUACGUGCCAGCAGCCGCAGUAA